RNAcentral lists this long non-coding RNA (366 nucleotides) under Gossypium barbadense (sea-island cotton). RNAcentral's name for it is "long non-coding RNA (GBAR_LNC003590)". The record is from RNAcentral. Lineage: Eukaryota; Viridiplantae; Streptophyta; Magnoliopsida; Malvales; Malvaceae.
UUUAUUAGUUAAAGUCUCCCCUGUUUCAGGGUAUGACCACUCUUACCCCUGUGCACUACAAACUGAAUUUCUCCCUGUACAAAAUUCUAACGACCAUGGAGUUUAUUUCCCCUAAAAAUAGACUCAAUAAGGAAUCCAUGCAUGUCAGGUAUGACUCUUAAUAAUUUUUGUAUAUAAGGUAUGACUCUUAAUAAUUUUUGUACAAUUUUUGGUGAAUUUCUAAAGUCGGAACAGGGGAUCUCUAAUUCAUUCAGACCCUAUUUCACAAGAAUUCAAAUAUCACACAAUAUGGAAUUCUUUUUCUUCCCCUGUUUCUUUCAUGUGAAAAUAGACUCAUUAAGCUUUAAUCCCAUAUUUUAUUCUGCC